This 858-nucleotide ribosomal RNA is filed under the name uncultured bacterium. RNAcentral describes it as "SSU rRNA". It matches the Rfam family "Bacterial small subunit ribosomal RNA", at positions 524 to 1381 of the family's 1533-position model. The record is from RNAcentral.
GACAGAGGUGGCAAGCGUUGUUCGGAUUUACUGGGCUUAAAGGGCGUGUAGGCGUCCUAGUAAGUCAGAUGUGGAAGCCUUGGGCUCAACCCAAGAAUUGCAUUUGAAACUAUUAGGAUUGAGUCGUGCAAGGGAGGGCGGAAUCCCUGGUGUAGCGGUGAAAUGCGUAGAUAUCAGGAGGAAGGCCGGUGGCGAAGGUGGCCCUCUGGGCAAUGACUGACGCUGAGGCGCGAAAGCGUGGGUAGCAAACAGGAUUAGAUACCCUGGUAGUCCACGCCCUAAACGGUGCGUACUAGGUGUGGGUGGCGAUAGUCAUCCGUGCCGAAGGGAAACCAUUAAGUACGCCGCCUGGGGAGUACGGCCGCAAGGUUGAAACUCAAAGAAAUUGACGGGGGCCCGCACAAGCGGUGGAGCAUGUGGUUUAAUUCGACGCUACGCGCAAAACCUUACCUGGGCUUGACAUGUUAGUAGUAGUGAACCGAAAGGGGAACGAUUCCGAGAAAUCGGAAAGCUUUCACAGGUGCUGCAUGGCUGUCGUCAGCUCGUGCCGUGAGGUGUUGGGUUAAGUCCCGCAACGAGCGCAACCCUCAUCCUCUGUUGCCCUUUAGGGGGCUCUCUGAGGAAACUGCCGGCGAAGAGCUGGAGGAAGGUGGGGAUGACGUCAAGUCCGCAUGGCCUUUAUGCCCAGGGCUACACACGUGCUACAAUGGUAGAUACAGAGGGUGGCCAAAUCGCGAGGUGGAGCCAAUCCCGUAAAGUCUAUCCAAGUUGGGAUCGGAGUCUGCAACUCGACUCCGUGAACCUGGAAUCGCUAGUAAUCGUGGAUCAGCAUGCCACGGUGAAUACGUUCCCGGGCCU